AGUCGCCUAGCCAUGCGAGUCAUAUGUUCUUCGUGAACAUGGCGUACUGCUCAGUAACACGUGGAUAACCUGCCCUUGGGUCCGGCAUAACCCCGGGAAACUGGGGAUAAUUCCGGAUAACGCAUAUAUGCUGGAAUGCUUUCUGCGUAAAAUGGAUUCGUCUGCCCAAGGAUGGGUCUGCGGCCUAUCAGGUAGUAGUGGGUGUAAUGUACCUACUAGCCGACGACGGGUACGGGUUGUGAGAGCAAGAGCCCGGAGAUGGAUUCUGAGACAUGAAUCCAGGCCCUACGGGGCGCAGCAGGCGCGAAAACUUUACAAUGCGGGAAACCGUGAUAAGGGGACACCGAGUGCCAGCAUCAUAUGCUGGCUGUCCGGGUGUGUAAAAUACACCCGUUAGCAAGGGCCGGGCAAGACCGGUGCCAGCCGCCGCGGUAACACCGGCGGCCCGAGUGGUGAUCGUGAUUAUUGGGUCUAAAGGGUCCGUAGCCGGUUUGGUCAGUCCUCCGGGAAAUCUGAUAGCUCAACUAUUAGGCUUUCGGGGGAUACUGCCAGGCUUGGAACCGGGAGAGGUAAGAGGUACUACAGGGGUAGGAGUGAAAUCUUGUAAUCCCUGUGGGACCACCUGUGGCGAAGGCGUCUUACCAGAACGGGUUCGACGGUGAGGGACGAAAGCUGGGGGCACGAACCGGAUUAGAUACCCGGGUAGUCCCAGCCGUAAACGAUGCUCGCUAGGUGUCAGGCAUGGCGCGACCGUGUCUGGUGCCGCAGGGAAGCCGUGAAGCGAGCCACCUGGGAAGUACGGCCGCAAGGCUGAAACUUAAAGGAAUUGGCGGGGGAGCACAACAACGGGUGGAGCCUGCGGUUUAAUUGGACUCAACGCCGGACAACUCACCGGGGGCGACAGCAAUAUGUAGGCCAAGCUGAAGACUUUGCCUGAAU
RNAcentral lists this ribosomal RNA (939 nucleotides) under uncultured archaeon. Its description in RNAcentral is "bacterial SSU rRNA". It matches the Rfam family "Archaeal small subunit ribosomal RNA", at positions 37 to 977 of the family's 1478-position model. The record is from RNAcentral.